GAGUUUGAUCUUGGCUCAGAAUCAACGCUGGCGGCGUGCCUCAGACACGCAAGUCGAACGAUUAAAGCUCUCUUCGGAGAGUGUAUAGAGUGGCGCACGGGUGAGUAACACGUAAGUAAUCUACCCUCGAGUGGGGAAUAACGUCCGGAAACGGACGCUAAUACCGCAUAAUGCAGCGGCACCGCAAGGUGACAGUUGUUAAAGGAGAAAUUCGCUUGAGGAGGAGCUUGCGGCAGAUUAGCUUGUUGGUAAGGUAACGGCUUACCAAGGCUACGAUCUGUAACCGGUCUUAGAGGACGGUCGGUCACACUGACACUGAAUAACGGGUCAGACUCCUACGGGAGGCAGCAGUCGGGAAUUUUGGGCAAUGGGCGAAAGCCUGACCCAGCAACGCCGCGUGAAGGAUGAAGUAUUUCGGUAUGUAAACUUCGAAAGAAUAGGAAGAAUAAAUGACGGUACUAUUUAUAAGGUCCGGCUAACUACGUGCCAGCCGCCGCCGUAAC
This 503-nucleotide ribosomal RNA is filed under the name uncultured bacterium. RNAcentral describes it as "bacterial SSU rRNA". It matches the Rfam family "Bacterial small subunit ribosomal RNA", at positions 9 to 524 of the family's 1533-position model. The record is from RNAcentral.